AUGGAAGCAGCAGAUGAGGAGAGCCCACUGCUGAGCCAUCCCUGCCUGCGUCCACAGCCACAGGACGAAUAUUCAAGGUACACGAGCGAUGGAACGGUUGAUGUCAACAGACAGCCUGCUCUCAAGCACAGCACCGGCAACUGGAGAGCAUGCUUCUUCAUUCUAGGCGCCGAAUUCAGCGAAUGCUUGUGCUUCGCCGCCGUCGCCAAGAACUUGGUCACCUACCUCACCAGUCACCACGGUGCUCCACGAGAGCAACGUCGACGCCGCGAGGAACGUCUCCACCUGGGUCGGCAGCUGCUUCCUCACGCCGAUACUCGACUGUUGCAGUGUUCCUCUCUGUCUACAUCUUUCAUUUCUGAAACUUUUUCAUUGACAAUGUGCCAGGGGAUGUUCAUCAUGACCUCAUCGCCGGCGCUUCCGUGGCUCCUGCCUCGUUCCUCCGACGAGAGCGGCGGUGUCCAUCGUGCCGCCGUCUACCUGGGGCUCUACCUUGUCGCCCUCGGCACCGGCGGAAUCAAGCCCUGCGCCACGGCCCUGGGCGCGGAUCAGUUCGAUGGCGCCGACCCGGCGGAGCGGGUGGCCAAGGGCUCCUUCUUCAACUGGUACUACUUCUCCAUCAACAUCGGCUCGCUGCUGUCGGCGACGUUGCUCGUCUGGGUGCAGGACAACAUCGGGUGGACCGUCGGGUACGCAAUCCCGACGGUGCUCAUAGGAUUCGGCCUCGCCGUGUUCGUCUCCGGUGGGAAGAUUUACAGGCACAAGCCACUGGGGGUGGGAGGUAGCCCACUGACAAGGGUCUGCCAGGUGGUCGUCGCUGCCGCGAGGAAUUGCCGUCUCGAGCUGCCCGAUGACACCUCGGCCCUGCACGAAAAUGGCAUGGCUCAGCACACCAGGCAAUUCCGGUUCUUUGACAAGGCCGCGAUCGUGCUGGUGUCGUCGGAGAAGAAGGGCCCGUGGCGGCUCUGCACGGUGUCGCAGGUGGAGGAGCUAAAGAUGCUGCUGCGGAUGUCACCCGUCUGGGCAUCGAUGCUCGUCUUCUUCGCGGUCACCGCGCAGAUGUCAACCACGCUGAUCGAGCUUGGCAUGACCAUGGACAACCGCGUCGGCGGUUUUGUCGUGCCGCCGGCAUCGCUCUCCACAUUUGACCUCGUCAGCGUCCUCAUCUGGGUUCCCCUCUACGACGCCGUGCUGGUGCCGCUCGCACGGCGCGUCACCGGCGAGCACAGGGGAUUCACGCAGCUGCAGCGCAUUGGCGUCGGCCUCGCGCUGUCCGCGGCCGCCAUGGCGUACGCCGCGUCGGUCGAGACGAGGCGGCUGGCGUCGGCGAGCUCGAUGAGCAUCAUGUGGCUGGCGCCGUGCUACUUCGUGCUGGGCGCGGCCGAGGUGUUCACCAGCAUCGGCAUGCUCGAGUUCUUCUACGAUCAGUCCCCAGUAUCCAUGAAGAGCUUGGGCACGGCCCUCGCGCAUCUUGCCGUCGCUGGCGGGAGCUACCUCAACUCCGCCCUGCUCGGCACCGUCGCGUCUGCCACGGGGUGGAUCUCGGACAAUCUCGACCAAGGCCACCUGGACAACUUCUUCUGGUUCAUGGCGGCUCUCAGCAUGCUCAACCUGUUGCAGUUCGUUUACUGCUCCAUCAGAUACAAAAGCUAA
Molecule: ribosomal RNA, 1653 nt
Filed under: Triticum aestivum (bread wheat)
Lineage: Eukaryota; Viridiplantae; Streptophyta; Magnoliopsida; Poales; Poaceae
Description: partial small subunit ribosomal RNA
Source: RNAcentral